AUACGUAGGGUGCAAGCGUUAAUCGGAAUUACUGGGCGUAAAGCGUGCGCAGGCGGUUUUGUAAGACAGGGGUGAAAUCCCCGGGCUCAACCUGGGAACUGCCAUUGUGACUGCAAGGCUGGAGUGCGGCAGAGGGGGAUGGAAUUCCGCGUGUAGCAGUGAAAUGCGUAGAUAUGCGGAGGAACACCGAUGGCGAAGGCAAUCCCCUGGGCCUGCACUGACGCUCAUGCACGAAAGCGUGGGGAGCAAACAGGAUUAGAUACCCUGGUAGUCCACGCCCUAAACGAUGUCAACUGGUUGUUGGGGAUUUAUUUUCUCAGUAACGAAGCUAACGCGUGAAGUUGACCGCCUGGGGAGUACGGCCGCAAGGUUAAAACUCAAAUGAAUGGACGGGG
RNAcentral lists this ribosomal RNA (395 nucleotides) under uncultured bacterium. Its description in RNAcentral is "partial 16S ribosomal RNA". It matches the Rfam family "Bacterial small subunit ribosomal RNA", at positions 523 to 918 of the family's 1533-position model. The record is from RNAcentral.